AACGCUAGCUACAGGCUUAACACAUGCAAGUCGAGGGGUAGCAGGGUAGCAAUACCGCUGACGACCGGCGCACGGGUGAGUAACACGUAUCCAACCUACUAUUCACACGGGGAUAGCCUUUCGAAAGAAAGAUUAAUACCCGAUAGUAUAACGAGAGGACAUCCUUUUGUUAUUAAAGAAUUUCGGUGUUUGAUGGGGAUGCGUUCCAUUAGAUUGUUGGUGAGGUAACGGCUCACCAAGUCUUCGAUGGAUAGGGGUUCUGAGAGGAAGGUCCCCCACAUUGGAACUGAGACACGGUCCAAACUCCUACGGGAGGCAGCAGUGAGGAAUAUUGGUCAAUGGGCGAGAGCCUGAACCAGCCAAGUAGCGUGAAGGACGAAGGCCCUAUGGGUCGUAAACUUCUUUUAUAGGGGAAUAAAGUUCGGGACGUGUCCCGUUUUGUAUGUACCCUAAGAAUAAGGAUCGGCUAACUCCGUGCCAGCAGCCGCGGUAAUACGGAGGAUCCAAGCGUUAUCCGGAUUUAUUGGGUUUAAAGGGAGCGUAGGUGGACAUAUAAGUCAGUUGUGAAAGUUUGCGGCUCAACCGUAAAAUUGCAGUUGAUACUGUAUGUCUUGAGUGUACUGGGGGUGGGCGGAAUUCGUGGUGUAGCGGUGAAAUGCUUAGAUAUCACGAAGAACUCCGAUUG
Molecule: ribosomal RNA, 685 nt
Filed under: uncultured bacterium
Lineage: Bacteria
Description: bacterial SSU rRNA
Rfam family: Bacterial small subunit ribosomal RNA
Source: RNAcentral